RNAcentral lists this long non-coding RNA (205 nucleotides) under Gossypium barbadense (sea-island cotton). RNAcentral's name for it is "long non-coding RNA (GBAR_LNC008409)". The record is from RNAcentral. Lineage: Eukaryota; Viridiplantae; Streptophyta; Magnoliopsida; Malvales; Malvaceae.
UUUAGUGUUGCACCCAACACUCCUCUACCCACGACGACUCGACACACAACAAGCUCUCCCUCGAGCUCUUCAAUUCUUGUGCUCAAAGCCCUUAUUGUGGCCAUUGUUUCCUCUGCCAAAGCCAUCAUCAUGACCUUAAGAGCAUUAUCCCUUACUGUUAGCUUAUUCGUAGUAGAAUUAAGCACCCAUUGCAUCUCUUUCACAU